RNAcentral lists this long non-coding RNA (1128 nucleotides) under Sarcophilus harrisii (Tasmanian devil). Its description in RNAcentral is "lncRNA (ENSSHAG00000022887.1)". The record is from RNAcentral. Lineage: Eukaryota; Metazoa; Chordata; Mammalia; Dasyuromorphia; Dasyuridae.
GCGCCUGGAAGGUGCCAGGCCUGGGCCGAGCGCUUUGCACCCUGCUCCUCUGGCGCCCGGCCUGCUGGGGGGGGGGGGGGCGGCAAAGGAGAGGAGACUCGCGGUCCGGCACCAACCGCUGCACCCCCCUUCCCCUCCCCCACCCUCGCUGCCGAGCCGUCAGUCAGCCGGCGCAGAGUCCCGCGCCGCGCUCCCUCCCCGGGGUCCCGCGCUGUCCUCCCUCCCCGGAGUCCCGCGCCGCGCUCCCUCCCCGGGGUCCCGCACCGUGUCCCGCGCCGCGCUCCCUCCCCGGGGUCCCGCGCUGUCCUCCCUCCCCGGGGUCCCGCACCGUGUCCCGCGCCGCGCUCCCUCCCCGGGGUCCCGCACCGUGUCCCGCGCCGCGCCCCUCCCCGGGGUCCCGCACCGUGUCCCGCGCCGCGCUCCCUCCCCGGGGUCCCGCGCUGUCCUCCCUCCCGGGGUCCCGCACCGUGUCCCGCGCCGCUCCCUCCCCGGGGUCCCGCACCGUGUCCCGCGCCGCGCUCCCUCCCCGGGGUCCCGCGCUGUCCUCCCUCCCCGGGGUCCCGCACCGUGUCCCGCGCCGCGCUCCUUCCCGGGUCCCGCACCGUGUCCCCGCCGCGCUCCCUCCCCAGGUCCCGCUUGCCCUCCCUCCCCGGAGUCCCGCGCUUACCUCCCUCCCCGGAGUCCCGCGCUGUCCUCCCUCCCCGGAGUCCCGCGCCGCGCUCCCUCCCCGGGGUCCCGCACCGUGUCCCGCGCCGCGCUCCCUCCCCGGGGUCCCGCGCCGUGUCCCGCGCCGCGCUCCCUCCCCGGGGUCCCUCCCCGGGGUCUCCCGUGGCGGCGAGGGCGAGUCCGGGGCUCGGACACUUGAGGCCCCGCGGGGGGUGCCCCGCGCUGUCCGAGACCGAGGGCUCCGCCAUCGCCGUGGCCCGGAUCAAGGACUCGCCCGGGGCCGGGCUGCCGCGCGCCUUUUUAAUUAAGGUCUUUCCCAGGUCUGGGCCCGGCGGAGGCAACAGCCCGCGGCGUCUAAGGCCUAGGGAUCAAUUGGACAAAAGAGGGACUAAUUCGUCCCUAGAGAAUCGGUCUGAAAAAGGCGCCGUGAUGGGCCCGGAGUCAAAUAGCUCCCCCAAAUGA